This 253-nucleotide ribosomal RNA is filed under the name uncultured bacterium. RNAcentral describes it as "partial 16S ribosomal RNA". It matches the Rfam family "Bacterial small subunit ribosomal RNA", at positions 524 to 776 of the family's 1533-position model. The record is from RNAcentral.
UACGAGGGGGGCAAGCGUUGUUCGGAAUUAUUGGGCGUAAAGAGCUCGUAGGUGGCUUGUCACGUCGGGUGUGAAAGCUUGGGGCUUAACUCCAGGUCUGCAUUCGAUACGGGCUGGCUAGAGGUAGGUAGGGGAGAACGGAAUUCCUGGUGUAGCGGUGAAAUGCGCAGAUAUCAGGAGGAACACCGGUGGCGAAGGCGGUUCUCUGGGCCUUACCUGACGCUGAGGAGCGAAAGCGUGGGGAGCGAACAGG